RNAcentral lists this ribosomal RNA (253 nucleotides) under uncultured prokaryote. RNAcentral's name for it is "partial 16S ribosomal RNA". It matches the Rfam family "Bacterial small subunit ribosomal RNA", at positions 524 to 776 of the family's 1533-position model. The record is from RNAcentral.
UACGGAGGGGGCUAGCGUUGUUCGGAAUUACUGGGCGUAAAGCGUACGUAGGCGGCUUGCCAAGUCAGAGGUGAAAUCCCACGACUCAAUCGUGGAACUGCCUUUGAGACUGGUUCGCUUGAAGAUGGGAGAGGUCAGUGGAAUUCCGAGUGUAGAGGUGAAAUUCGUAGAUAUUCGGAAGAACACCAGUGGCGAAGGCGGUUACCUGGGCUUGUUCUGACGCUGAGGCACAAAAGCUGGGGGAGCAAACGGG